CCUUAUUCAAAACUAACACGACUAUCCAGCGGUACUAAGAAAAGAUGUUGACGUACAUCGACGUAGGUAUUCCCUAAGUACUCUCUUCUGUUUAUAUUUUACAACUGUAUAUUGACAAUGAACACGGUCAACAAAAUGCAUAUAUUUAAGUACAACGCUCACGGAAACUGGUUAGUGUUUGUCCGGCAUUCGAGUGGGACGUUCGGCACAGCAACAUGAAGAUUAUUAUGUGUAUAUUUGGCCUUGCGGCCUUGGCCAUGGCUGGCGAGACGGAUCUGCAGAAGAUUUUACGAGAAAGCAACGACCAAUUUACAGCCCAGAUGUUUUCUGAAGUGGUAAAAGCGAACCCUGGUCAAAACGUCGUGUUGUCUGCAUUCUCCGUCCUGCCACCAUUGGGCCAACUGGCUUUGGCUUCCGUAGGUGAAUCACACGACGAACUGCUAAGAGCUUUGGCUUUACCCAACGACAAUGUGACGAAAGAUGUAUUUGCGGAUCUAAACCGUGGUGUGCGAGCUGUCAAAGGAGUCGAUCUGAAGAUGGCCAGUAAAAUCUACGUAGCAAAAGGUCUUGAACUAAAUGAUGACUUCGCGGCAGUAUCAAGAGACGUUUUCGGUUCUGAAGUCCAAAAUGUAGACUUUGUAAAGAACGUUGAAGCAGCCGGCGCGAUUAACAAAUGGGUUGAAGAUCAAACCAACAAUCGCAUCAAAAAUUUAGUCGACCCAGAUGCGUUGGACGAAACAACACGCUCCGUUCUCGUCAAUGCUAUAUACUUCAAGGGUAGCUGGAAAGACAAGUUUGUCAAGGAAAGAACAAUGGACAGAGACUUCCAUGUUUCCAAAGACAAAACAAUUAAAGUGCCUACGAUGAUCGGUAAGAAGGAUGUCCGUUACGCUGAUGUUCCUGAACUUGAUGCUAAGAUGAUUGAAAUGUCAUAUGAGGGUGACCAAGCAUCUAUGAUUAUUAUAUUACCGAACCAAGUAGACGGAAUCACAGCACUGGAACAAAAACUGAAGGAUCCUAAAGCUCUUUCAAGAGCUGAGGAGCGUUUGUACAACACUGAAGUUGAAAUUUACCUUCCAAAAUUCAAAAUUGAAACAACUACCGAUCUGAAAGAAGUUCUUAGUAACAUGAACAUCAAAAAAUUGUUCACUCCAGGAGCAGCUAGACUAGAGAAUCUUUUAAAAACAAAGGAAUCUUUAUAUGUAGAUGCGGCUAUACAAAAAGCUUUUAUCGAAGUCAACGAAGAAGGUGCAGAAGCUGCGGCUGCUAACGCUUUCAUCGCUGUCGUAGAUUCAAUAGAUAUUUUUGAGCGUACUAUUGAAUUUCACGCAGACAGACCGUUUUUCUUCAACUUAAAAGCCAAUGGUCAAUCUCUAUUCAACGGAAUAUGUGUCAUGCCGAUGCUUUAACCUUUAACGCUUUCUUCAUCGUAGGCAUAACAUCAAUACAAUUUGAACCACCUGUUAUCGAAUUUCACGUAAACAGACCUUUCUUCUUCAAUUUAAAAGCCAGUGGACAGUCCCUGUUUAACGGGAUUUGUGUUCAACCAUAAACCGAUAUAUUGUUAUCAUUAAGAAACAUUAACAAUAACGUCCGGUUGGAAUGUAAUCAAAUCACUUUUAUACAAACAAUAAACAUUUUCUUACUGAUACA
Molecule: unclassified non-coding RNA, 1653 nt
Filed under: Manduca sexta (tobacco hornworm)
Lineage: Eukaryota; Metazoa; Arthropoda; Insecta; Lepidoptera; Sphingidae
Description: alaserpin-like, transcript variant X31
Source: RNAcentral